CAGCAGCCACGGGAAUACGUAGGGUGCAAGCGUUAAUCGGAAUUACUGGGCGUAAAGCGUGCGCAGGCGGUUUGUUAAGACAGAUGUGAAAUCCCCGGGCUCAACCUGGGAACUGCAUUUGUGACUGGCAAGCUAGAGUAUGGCAGAGGGGGAUGGAAUUCCGCGUGUAGCAGUGAAAUGCGUAGAUAUGCGGAGGAACACCGAUGGCGAAGGCAAUCCCCUGGGCCUGCACUGACGCUCAUGCACGAAAGCGUGGGGAGCAAACAGGAUUAGAUACCCGAGUAGUCCCUGUCUCUUAUAC
Molecule: ribosomal RNA, 301 nt
Filed under: uncultured bacterium
Lineage: Bacteria
Description: partial 16S ribosomal RNA
Rfam family: Bacterial small subunit ribosomal RNA
Source: RNAcentral